Molecule: ribosomal RNA, 301 nt
Filed under: uncultured bacterium
Lineage: Bacteria
Description: partial 16S ribosomal RNA
Rfam family: Bacterial small subunit ribosomal RNA
Source: RNAcentral
CAGUCGCCACGGGAAUACGUAGGGUGCGAGCGUUAAUCGGAAUUACUGGGCGUAAAGCGUGCGCAGGCGGUUUUGUAAGACAGAGGUUAAAUCCCCGGGCUCAACCUGGGAACUGCCUUUGUGACUGCAAGGCUAGAGUACGGCAGAGGGGGAUGGAAUUCCGCGUGUAGCAGUGAAAUGCGUAGAUAUGCGGAGGAACACCGAUGGCGAAGGCAAUCCCCUGGGCCUGUACUGACGCUCAUGCACGAAAGCGUGGGGAGCAAACAGGAUUAGAUACCCCUGUAGUCCCUGUCUCUUAUAA